UUGACGGGACCGCGACAAGCGGUGGAUGAUGUGGAUAAUUCGAUGCAACGCGAAAACCUUACCUACGCUUGACAUGUCAGGAACCUCGAAGAGAUUUGAGGGUGCCCGAAAGGGAACCUGGACACAGGUGCUGCAUGGCUGUCGUCAGCUCGUGUCGUGAGAUGUUGGGUUAAGUCCCGCAACCGAGCGCAACCCUUAUCAUUAGUUGCUACGGCAAGGGCACUCUAAUGAGACUGCCGGUGACAAACCGGAGGAAGGUGGGGAUGACGUCAAGUCCUCAUGGCCCUUAUGCGUAGGGCUUCACACGUCAUACAAUGGUCGGUACAGAGGGUUGCCAACCCGCGAGGGGGAGCCAAUCCCACAAAGCCGAUCGUAGUCCGGAUUGCAGUCUGCAACUCGACUGCAUGAAGUCGGAAUCGCUAGUAAUCGCGGAUCAGCAUGUCGCGGUGAAUACGUUCCCGGGUCUU
RNAcentral lists this ribosomal RNA (467 nucleotides) under uncultured Derxia sp. RNAcentral's name for it is "bacterial SSU rRNA". It matches the Rfam family "Bacterial small subunit ribosomal RNA", at positions 910 to 1382 of the family's 1533-position model. The record is from RNAcentral. Lineage: Bacteria; Pseudomonadati; Pseudomonadota; Betaproteobacteria; Burkholderiales; Alcaligenaceae.